This is a long non-coding RNA of Gallus gallus (chicken), 1725 nucleotides long. NCBI's taxonomy places the organism in Eukaryota, Metazoa, Chordata, Aves, Galliformes, Phasianidae. The record is from Ensembl.
GAGAAGGCAUUGCUGGGAGCAGAGAUCCUGUACUGCUGCUGUCUGCCCUGACCCUGAUGGUAGGUAGUCAGUCAUCAACUACUGCCAGUAAACGUGCACAAGCUUAAGAGUCCAUAGCUGCUGAAUCCUGCUCAAGAACCAUUUCCAUUUCAAAAUGGAAGCUAGAUCUCCUUUGACCUGGACAGUUUGGCUUCAUCUUGGAUACCUUUUGACUUCAAAGAUUUAAUCGUGAUCACCAGUCAGAUCUCUAUGUCAUGGGCUUCAAAUCACUAGCAGGGAGACUGCUACAAUUUCAGCUGCAACAUUUGAUGUAUAAAUCCCUUAUCCCAUCUGUUCGCUUAAUCCAGGAUUCUGAAACACGUUCAGGGAACAGAAAAGGUUCCUGUCCUGCUGUCUGGGGGAGAGUUUUGGUAGCCUGCCCGGCCAACCCUAGCCCAGAGUACUCCCAGGUGUGGGAACAAGGCUGCCCACCAUCGCAUUGGCAUCAACAUAACUGAUAGCUCUCAACAUGCUGCAUCAGCGAAAGCACACAGACAAAUGAGGCUGGCCAUGGAGUCACACCAGCCUCAGCAGGACCUGUACAGAUCAGCUGUGAUCACCAGGGUUGCACAACCUUCCACAAGUGAGAAGUGGACUCUGGACAGCGAGAUAUGCAUUACAAGAUAAAGCUGUCCUGCUAUGCCACAGGAAAGCAAAGUCAGCGUCUCAUCUGAGAACUGUUUCCGAGAAUGAACACACGUAUGCAGCUAGCAAAAUCUUCCAUUUGCACAGAAAACUUUUAGCAGUUGAAGAGUCUGAGCAUGCCUCAGUGGCCCUGCGCUCCCAGCACACAAAGCCAUCUGCAGCCACCAGUCAUUUGGAGCAGCCUCUCACAUGCUGGCUUUCCUACAGGGAGUUUCUCACAGCAGGAUCAGCCGCCCUUCCAGCACAUCACAGGUGUUCUCCACAUGGCAUGAGCAGCAUUUCUCUCCUCCGGUUCUGGGAGAGGAAAUUCUGCAAACCAAAUGUGAACUCAGGAAAGGGAGGUCCUAGCAAACUUGCUGUGCCAAAGGCAAACACAAAAGGCUCACCUCUGCAGUUGUGCCCGACUGAGCAGUGCCAGCAAAUAGAGGAGCGCGGUGCCAGACUCAUACAGAGUGGUACGGGGUCAAGGCAAGGCUUUUUGCUGGGAACAGGGUGUGUGCGGGCUGAAAAGCACUGAGGAGGAACUGAGGCCAUGGCUGAUCCUGGGGGGUGCGCAGAUCAGCUCUGCAGGCGAGGUUAGUGCCUUUGCUCCUCUGUCAUCACCAGUCCCUGAGAGCAAUCACCACCCACCAACAGUUCCUCAAGAUAAGACCGAGCCAGCUGGGAGAAGAAAUCCUUUGAUAUUUCCCUGCCUCGCUGACUGCGUUUUUCACAGCUCACAUCUCAGAGAGGACCAGCAGAGAUGACUGGGCACGUAAGAAUAACACUGGAGUGGUAUGCAAGGAAGGUGCUAAUCUUCUGCCAUGUGUGUAGGGCCUGGGCAGAAUGAGGCAGAGCGCAGUGCUGGAGUCUCCCUGAUCCUCCCAUGGAUAUCAGCAGCUGCCACACCUGGAGUCUGCAGCAAAGCUCCUUCCUCCAGAGGCCAAGAGCUGAGCCUACUGUUUCCAGCAAGGAAUCUUACGAUCUAUUUAUUCUCAAGAUUAAAUUUCCCUGUCCAGAACAUGUAUCAAAAAAGUCCUCCCAAACACAGAACGUGCUCAG